UUCAAUGAUGAUUUACUUUAAUUUAAUCACGACGGUCAACAUAAUCAUUUUCAUUGAUGACCACUGCCUGUGACAGGGCAUUUAUCUGACA
RNAcentral lists this small nucleolar RNA (91 nucleotides) under Aspergillus ruber CBS 135680. RNAcentral describes it as "Small nucleolar RNA snR73". It matches the Rfam family "Small nucleolar RNA snR73". Lineage: Eukaryota; Fungi; Ascomycota; Eurotiomycetes; Eurotiales; Aspergillaceae. The record is from Rfam by way of RNAcentral.